This 447-nucleotide ribosomal RNA is filed under the name uncultured bacterium. RNAcentral's name for it is "bacterial SSU rRNA". It matches the Rfam family "Bacterial small subunit ribosomal RNA", at positions 329 to 792 of the family's 1533-position model. The record is from RNAcentral.
CCCCAGACUCCUACGGGAGGCAGCAGUCGGGAAUAUUGCACAAUGGAGGAAACUCUGAUGCAGUGACACCGCGUAUAGGAAGAAGGUUUUCGGAUUGUAAACUAUUUUAGACAGGGAAGAAAAAAGACAGUACCUGUAGAAUAAGCUCCGGCUAACUACGUGCCAGCAGCCGCGGUAAUACGUAGGGAGCAAGCGUUAUCCGGAAUUAUUGGGUGUAAAGGGUGCGUAGACGGGACAGCAAGUUAGUUGUGAAAACCCUCGGCUUAACUGAGGAACUGCAACUAAAACUAUUGUUCUUGAGUGCAGGAGAGGAAAGCGGAAUUCCUAGUGUAGCGGUGAAAUGCGUAGAUAUUAGGAGGAACACCAGUGGCGAAGGCGGUCUGCUGGACAGCAACUGACGCUGAGGCGCGAAAGCGUGGGGAGCAAACAGGAUUAGAUACCCCAGUA